RNAcentral lists this ribosomal RNA (491 nucleotides) under uncultured bacterium. Its description in RNAcentral is "partial 16S ribosomal RNA". It matches the Rfam family "Bacterial small subunit ribosomal RNA", at positions 29 to 507 of the family's 1533-position model. The record is from RNAcentral.
GUGCACGCUGGCGGUAGGCCUAACACAUGCAAGUCGCACGGCAGCACAGUAAGAGCUUGCUCUUACGGGUGGCGAGUGGCGGACGGGUGAGGAAUACAUCGGAAUCUACUUUUUCGUGGGGGAUAACGUAGGGAAACUUACGCUAAUACCGCAUACGACCUACGGGUGAAAGCAGGGGAUCUUCGGACCUUGCGCGAUUGAAUGAGCCGAUGUUGGAUUAGCUAGUUGGCGGGGUAAAGGCCCACCAAGGCGACGAUCCGUAGCUGGUCUGAGAGGAUGAUCAGCCACACUGGAACUGAGACACGGUCCAGACUCCUACGGGAGGCAGCAGUGGGGAAUAUUGGACAAUGGGCGCAAGCCUGAUCCAGCCAUACCGCGUGGGUGAAGAAGGCCUUCGGGUUGUAAAGCCCUUUUGUUGGGAAAGAAAAGCAGCAGGUUAAUACCCCGCUGUUCUGACGGUACCCAAAGAAUAAGCACCGGCUAACUUCGUG